CAGGCCCAGUGCCACCUGUAAAUGGGGGAUGCUUCCCUGGACCUGGGGUGCCUGGCUUCCACACUCUCCUGGGCUCUUUCUUGCCUCUGUUCCCAAAUAGGGAGGGAGGUCUUAACGAGUGUGAAUGUUAUAAGCCUACUACCAGAGGGCUGGCCAGGUUCCAGAAGUGACAAAUGUGUACUUGGCUAUGGUUGGAUCUUACGAGACCCCUUGCUUGCUGGCAGACUGUUUUUGCAAAUACCAGCUCCCCUGUUACCAAUUAUGAGAAGGUGCUCACUUUGGGUGUGCACGGGUGUUGGGCUCUGGGCACACCCUCUCCAAGGUCUCACGGGCAAAGAGAACUAAGGAACCAAGUCCCAAGACAACCACUGCUAUUUGUUCAACCCACAUAGCCUUGUGGAUGGGGAGAGGGCAAUUCUACAUGUGUUCCCCUUCAUGCAUCUGCAGUGUCUUAGCACAUGCCGUCAAGGGUUAAGAGUAUUUCUCAGUAUGCCAUUAGGAAGCAAGGCCUCGUUAUUUGGGGUGAAAUCAUUUUAGAGCAAAUCCUGUACAGUGGGUAAGCUGAAUGUUUUCAGCCAUCAGAGUGUGGAAAUUUGCGGGAGACUGGGAUUUAACCUGGUGGUUACUCAAUUUCGUCAUUAGAAUGGUCUGUAAUCCACUAAAGUCCCUGAAACUAUCUGCAAGAAAAAUCCAUCUUUAUAUAUGACGCAGUGGUUUCUAAAUUAUUUUUGGAUAGCAGAAAAAAAAGUUUUUUUUUCAGAACCCCCAAACACACAAUAGAGAAUAGUCCUACUGUUCUGUUUGAAGCUGGGGAUGAGACCUCUGCUCAAAAGCCCCUGCCAUCCCAGUACCCUGGAAAUGACCCAGGACCAUGGCUACACCAGAUACGUACACUGCAGUACUGUGCCCGGCUCUGAGGACCACCCCUAGGAUGGACCAUACCAGCUGGAAUAUCUUCAGAAGGAAACCAGGAUCCAGAAGUGUUUUAGGGAAACAAGUAUGCUAAGCUCAGAGACAAAAGCUUAAGCAUCAUCAUUACCUGGCAUGGAGAAUGGAGGGAGCAGCCAAUUUAUUUGCUCGUUCACUGCUUUGAAGCUUUGUCCUUAAUUCAUUCAUCUCAGCAUCUUUAAAUUGGAGUUCGGACUGCAAUGAUUGGAGCUGGAAGGCAAAAGCAACAUACUCAUGGAGUUUUUGACAUCCCAUCUAAUCUGGGGACCUUAUGAACAUCUGUAAAAAAACAGUUCCCAUAUACUUUUCUGGACCCAACACUUUCCCACUUUUGCCAGUCAAUGCUGAAAAGAAUCACUCUUGAAAGCAAAUUAGAGAAAGAUCUAGUAAGCAGUAUAGGUAUUUUCCAACCUAAGAACGUGAUUCAAACUCAUAAAUGAUCCUUAUGAAAUGACAAACAGAUCCUGCCUCCCCCUACUCCCCACCCCUCAAUUUUAAGAGUAUCAUCUAAAGGCUGAAAAGGUGCUGUGGGAACCUCACUGGUCAGAACUUGGUGAUCUGUUAUUUGACAAUAUUUACUGAGCACCUAUACCUAUACCUACUGAGCACCGGGCACAGUCUAGUCUCUAAAGGUACAGUGGUGAGCAAAAGGGAUACAGUCCUUACACUCAUGGAGCUUAGAGGACAUUCAAAAAUAAUUAAAUAAAUGUAAAAUUACAACUGUGAUAAGAGCUACACAAGAGAACAAGUAUAGGAAAGCCAAGUAUAUGGAUCCAACUGGAAUGACUGGAAGGCUUCCCAAGGAAGUGAUGACUGAGGCACCAUGCUGGCAAUACUGGAGAAUGACUGGACUCCCAGAUGAAUGUGUGGGAUUUAAGAUGCCUGUGAGAUAUCCAAGUACAGAUGCAAGAUGCCCUCAAAACGUUUCUCCUUCUGUGAGCCCCACAAGACUUCACUCACUCCCCAGCUAGAAAGUAAGCUCCCGAAGAAAGGAGUUUUUGUCUUUUGUUCAUUGCUAAGUGUGCUGCAGUUCCUAAGGUUUUGGACACCUAGUACAAUUUACUGGUUGUAUAACGGAAUAAACCUCUUUCAUCUCUUGCCUCA
Long non-coding RNA from Leopardus geoffroyi (Geoffroy's cat), 2052 nucleotides. RefSeq lists it as uncharacterized. The record is from RefSeq and is a predicted model, not a curated record. The transcript is spliced from 5 exons. Lineage: Eukaryota; Metazoa; Chordata; Mammalia; Carnivora; Felidae.